RNAcentral lists this ribosomal RNA (1554 nucleotides) under Neisseria meningitidis. RNAcentral's name for it is "bacterial SSU rRNA". It matches the Rfam family "Bacterial small subunit ribosomal RNA". Lineage: Bacteria; Pseudomonadati; Pseudomonadota; Betaproteobacteria; Neisseriales; Neisseriaceae. RNAcentral also lists the same sequence under 1 other name. The record is from RNAcentral.
AGAGAUUGAACAUAAGAGUUUGAUCCUGGCUCAGAUUGAACGCUGGCGGCAUGCUUUACACAUGCAAGUCGGACGGCAGCACAGAGAAGCUUGCUUCUUGGGUGGCGAGUGGCGAACGGGUGAGUAACAUAUCGGAACGUACCGAGUAGUGGGGGAUAACUGAUCGAAAGAUCAGCUAAUACCGCAUACGUCUUGAGAGGGAAAGCAGGGGACCUUCGGGCCUUGCGCUAUUCGAGCGGCCGAUAUCUGAUUAGCUAGUUGGUGGGGUAAAGGCCUACCAAGGCGACGAUCAGUAGCGGGUCUGAGAGGAUGAUCCGCCACACUGGGACUGAGACACGGCCCAGACUCCUACGGGAGGCAGCAGUGGGGAAUUUUGGACAAUGGGCGCAAGCCUGAUCCAGCCAUGCCGCGUGUCUGAAGAAGGCCUUCGGGUUGUAAAGGACUUUUGUCAGGGAAGAAAAGGCUGUUGCUAAUAUCAGCGGCUGAUGACGGUACCUGAAGAAUAAGCACCGGCUAACUACGUGCCAGCAGCCGCGGUAAUACGUAGGGUGCGAGCGUUAAUCGGAAUUACUGGGCGUAAAGCGGGCGCAGACGGUUACUUAAGCAGGAUGUGAAAUCCCCGGGCUCAACCCGGGAACUGCGUUCUGAACUGGGUGACUCGAGUGUGUCAGAGGGAGGUAGAAUUCCACGUGUAGCAGUGAAAUGCGUAGAGAUGUGGAGGAAUACCGAUGGCGAAGGCAGCCUCCUGGGACAACACUGACGUUCAUGCCCGAAAGCGUGGGUAGCAAACAGGAUUAGAUACCCUGGUAGUCCACGCCCUAAACGAUGUCAAUUAGCUGUUGGGCAACUUGAUUGCUUAGUAGCGUAGCUAACGCGUGAAAUUGACCGCCUGGGGAGUACGGUCGCAAGAUUAAAACUCAAAGGAAUUGACGGGGACCCGCACAAGCGGUGGAUGAUGUGGAUUAAUUCGAUGCAACGCGAAGAACCUUACCUGGUCUUGACAUGUACGGAAUCCUCCAGAGACGGAGGAGUGCCUUCGGGAGCCGUAACACAGGUGCUGCAUGGCUGUCGUCAGCUCGUGUCGUGAGAUGUUGGGUUAAGUCCCGCAACGAGCGCAACCCUUGUCAUUAGUUGCCAUCAUUCAGUUGGGCACUCUAAUGAGACUGCCGGUGACAAGCCGGAGGAAGGUGGGGAUGACGUCAAGUCCUCAUGGCCCUUAUGACCAGGGCUUCACACGUCAUACAAUGGUCGGUACAGAGGGUAGCCAAGCCGCGAGGCGGAGCCAAUCUCACAAAACCGAUCGUAGUCCGGAUUGCACUCUGCAACUCGAGUGCAUGAAGUCGGAAUCGCUAGUAAUCGCAGGUCAGCAUACUGCGGUGAAUACGUUCCCGGGUCUUGUACACACCGCCCGUCACACCAUGGGAGUGGGGGAUACCAGAAGUAGGUAGGGUAACCGCAAGGAGUCCGCUUACCACGGUAUGCUUCAUGACUGGGGUGAAGUCGUAACAAGGUAGCCGUAGGGGAACCUGCGGCUGGAUCACCUCCUUUCUAGAG